RNAcentral lists this ribosomal RNA (496 nucleotides) under uncultured bacterium. Its description in RNAcentral is "partial 16S ribosomal RNA". It matches the Rfam family "Bacterial small subunit ribosomal RNA", at positions 28 to 506 of the family's 1533-position model. The record is from RNAcentral.
GAUGAACGCUGGCGGCGUGCCUAAUACAUGCAAGUCGAGCGAACAGACGAGGAGCUUGCUCCUCUGACGUUAGCGGCGGACGGGUGAGUAACACGUGGAUACCCUACCUAUAAUACUGGGAUAACUUCGGGAAACCGGAGCUAAUACCGGAUAAUAUAUUGAUCCGCAUGGUUCAAUAGUGAAAGACGGUUUUGCUGUCACUUAUAGAUGGUUCCGCGCCUCAUUAGCUAGUUGGUAAGGUAACGGCUUAUCACGGCAACGAUGCCUAGCCGACCUGAGAGGGGGAUCGGCCACACUGGAACUGAGACACGGUACAGACUCCUACGGGAGGCAGCAGUAGGGAAUCUUCCGCAAUGGGCGAAAGCCUGACGGAGGAACGCCGCGUGAGUGAUGAAGGUCUUCGGAUCGUAAAACUCUGUUAUUAGGGAAGAACAAAUGUGUAAGUAACGAUGCACGUCUUGACGGUACCUAAUCAGAAAGCCACGGCUAACUACGU